Molecule: ribosomal RNA, 465 nt
Filed under: Vreelandella stevensii
Lineage: Bacteria; Pseudomonadati; Pseudomonadota; Gammaproteobacteria; Oceanospirillales; Halomonadaceae
Description: partial 16S ribosomal RNA
Rfam family: Bacterial small subunit ribosomal RNA
Source: RNAcentral
CCUACGGGACGCAGCAGUGGGGAAUAUUGGACAAUGGGCGAAAGCCUGAUCCAGCCAUGCCGCGUGUGUGAAGAAGGCCUUCGGGUUGUAAAGCACUUUCAGUGGGGAAGAAAGCCUUGGGGCUAAUACCCUCGAGGAAGGACAUCACCCACAGAAGAAGCACCGGCUAACUCCGUGCCAGCAGCCGCGGUAAUACGGAGGGUGCGAGCGUUAAUCGGAAUUACUGGGCGUAAAGCGCGCGUAGGCGGUCUGAUAAGCCGGUUGUGAAAGCCCCGGGCUCAACCUGGGAACGGCAUCCGGAACUGUCAGGCUAGAGUGCAGGAGAGGAAGGUAGAAUUCCCGGUGUAGCGGUGAAAUGCGUAGAGAUCGGGAGGAAUACCAGUGGCGAAGGCGGCCUUCUGGACUGACACUGACGCUGAGGUGCGAAAGCGUGGGUAGCAAACAGGAUUAGAUACCCGAGUAGUC